AAGGAAUCGAGGGGGAUGGAGGAAGUGAGAUGCCAAAAAGAUCAACGCUUCACAUUUACUUUUUACAUUUAUUCAUUUAGCAGACGCUUUUAUCCAAAGCGACUUACAAAUGAGAAAAUACAAGCAAAGCGAUUAUCAAGCAGAGAACAAUACAAGUAGUGUUACCAUACAAGAUCCAUUAAUUGAGUUUGAGAAGAAGCAAAGUGCGCAGAGUAGAGGUGUAAGUGCAGAUUUUUAAAAAUGUAUUUAUUCAUUUAUUUAUUUAUCAUGGGUUGGUUAGAUGUUCACGGAAGAGGUGAACAUCAAGGCCUUGAAUUUGAUACGGGCGGCUACAGGAAGCCAGUGGAGGGAGAUGAAGAGGGGUGUGACAUGGGUUCUCUUGGACUGGUUGAAGACGAGGUGUGCUGCUGCAUUCUGAAUCAUCUGAAGGGGUUUCACUCAUUUCAAUAAGAACUCAAAUUCAGCUUUAUUAGGCUCCGCUUUAAAUUUGAUUUACAGAUAUUUAUCUAAGUGCAUUAAUCUUUUUGUUGGAAAUGAGCACCGUUGGUUUUUUUUUUUAAAAGUAAAAUUUAAAAACCAAGAUAUUGUUUUAAAGUUAAAACAUCAGAAUUAAAGCAAAUAUGUUUCCCCACAAAACCACUGGCUGUGGUAAACAAAGGGAAAGUGUAAUGUAGAGAAACAUGUUCAGAAGCAUUUCUGCACAGGUUGGGAGAGGAAAUUGGAUGAUAAAACCCUAAACUCAAGGUGUGUUGGAAAUAUUGCUAAUUUUACCACGGUGAACUGUUUGGAAAGGAAACACUGGUGUGUGUUUUUUCCAAUGUCCAAAGUUUUUUGAGUUAGUUUCAGGUCUAUGGGAUUUAGGAUGUAGUUGGGAUGGAUUAUGAAAGGAAGACCUGGCAACCCUGAGCACGAGAAAUAAUCUCAUGAUCUCUGGUUAAACAAAGGUUCAACUUGACGCAUAACGCGGUGACACCAGUUAAAAACAUGACCCCUGCUGAACAUGUCGCUCACUUGCUGUCUGACCGCUUCGAACCGGGCCUGUCCACCCGGAUUACUGCCAAUCCACUUUUGUUUUGCCGCUUGGUCCACAUAGAUUUGAAGGUUAUUCAUAUCAUUUAGGAGAGUUUCCACCCUUGUUUCGUCCUCGUCUGUCACAUCGUUGGGUUUAUGUGGCCCAGCACGACUAACAAAGCGUCAUGCAGCGCUCUGCAAUAUUGACCAAACGGGAUUGCGUUCGCAUCCACGUAGUCUUCAUUAUUAUCAAAGAAAACCACCAUGUUUGUCUGAAUUUCUGUUGCUGUGCUUUGGGGAAGUGGGUGCCUGCCUAAUUCGUCCAUUGCCUGCUGAUCAUAUCCUUGUAGAGGAUUCAUACGAUGUUUAUGUAUAAAAUCAGUCAGCACUUUGUAAUGAAAUUUAAGGAUGCCGUUGUUGAAGACGUGUUCGCCUCUUUUCGACCUUUUCAGGUUUUCCCCCAGAUCCUGAUUGAACUUUGGAUUGAUGAUAUGACUGUUUGCUAACACUUUACACUUAAUAUCCUCCACUCUUUUCUUUCUCUCUCCCUGAUGAGCUUGAGAUGGUUUUGUUCCCUUUUUGGAACCUUUCCCCAUAUAUUCAAUAAUAUUUUCCAUUCUGACCUCUGUGGAGAAAAAAAAAAAUACCCAAAAUGUUUCCUUGUUAUGAUUUAGCUCUAAACUGAAUUGAUCUCAUUUAUA
Long non-coding RNA from Ictalurus punctatus (channel catfish), 1712 nucleotides. The record is from Ensembl. Lineage: Eukaryota; Metazoa; Chordata; Actinopteri; Siluriformes; Ictaluridae.